UGGGCUCACGACACUCGUAGCUCACUUUCUCACUUUUCGAACCCUAAGCAGUAGCCCUAGGGUACACACAGAAAAUCCUAUGCCCACUCUCUUUCUUUUCUUUCCUCUCGAAAUUUUUGAACUUUUCAAAUUCACACAGAAAGCUUCCUCACACCUACUUUUUUUUUUCUGAAAUCUUGUUUGCAUGCCCCACCUUCUUAUCUUUUUUUAAAAUAAUGCAAGAUGC
Molecule: long non-coding RNA, 226 nt
Filed under: Elaeis guineensis (African oil palm)
Lineage: Eukaryota; Viridiplantae; Streptophyta; Magnoliopsida; Arecales; Arecaceae
Description: long non-coding RNA (EGUI_LNC073379)
Source: RNAcentral